AAACCAACCGGGAUUGCCUCAGUAACGGCGAGUGAAGCGGCAAAAGCUCAAAUUUGAAAUCUGGCACUUUCAGUGUCCGAGUUGUAAUUUGUAGAAGUAGUUUUGGGGCUGGUCCUUGUUUAUGUUCCUUGGAACAGGACGUCAUAGAGGGUGAGAAUCCCGUGUGGCGAGGAUCCCAGUCCUUUGUAAAACGCUUUCGAAGAGUCGAGUUGUUUGGGAAUGCAGCUCUAAGUGGGUGGUAAAUUCCAUCUAAAGCUAAAUAUUGGCGAGAGACCGAUAGCGAACAAGUACAGUGAUGGAAAGAUGAAAAGAACUUUGAAAAGAGAGUGAAAAAGUACGUGAAAUUGUUGAAAGGGAAGGGCAUUUGAUCAGACAUGGUGUUUGGACGCCCUGCGCUCCUUGUGGGUGCAGGACACGCUUUUCACUGGGCCAACAUCAGUUUUGGCAGCAGGAUAAAUCGCCAGGAACGUAGCUGCCCUCGGGUAGUGUUACAGCCUGGUGGAAUACUGCUAGCCGGGACUGAGGACUGCGUCUUUGACAA
This 541-nucleotide ribosomal RNA is filed under the name Hanseniaspora osmophila. RNAcentral's name for it is "partial large subunit ribosomal RNA". It matches the Rfam family "Eukaryotic large subunit ribosomal RNA", at positions 62 to 608 of the family's 3401-position model. The record is from RNAcentral. Lineage: Eukaryota; Fungi; Ascomycota; Saccharomycetes; Saccharomycodales; Saccharomycodaceae.